RNAcentral lists this ribosomal RNA (3168 nucleotides) under Diabrotica virgifera virgifera (western corn rootworm). Its description in RNAcentral is "eukaryotic LSU rRNA". It matches the Rfam family "Eukaryotic large subunit ribosomal RNA". Lineage: Eukaryota; Metazoa; Arthropoda; Insecta; Coleoptera; Chrysomelidae. The record is from RNAcentral.
CUAUUGUAAUGAUGAAGGACGUCUCAUAACGCGAAAAGCAGUAAAAAUGGUCGCCCCUGCAAUCUUGGUAUCCGAACACAACGGUGUAGUCUUCUGGACUUCAUCAAUCGCUCCGUAUGACUUUCUGACAAUUUGUCUUGCAACAGGCUAUUAAAGCCUUGGCGCCUUUGAGUUGAUAAAUAAUGAACCAGCAACUCACAAGCCUAGUGAUCGGAGUGAUUGAAAAUUACCGACUGAAUUUAAGCAUAUUAUUAAGUCGAGGAAUAAGAAUCAAAAGAGAUUUCCUUAUUAGCGGCGAGCGAAAAGGAAUUUGAUCGAAGCGUAAAUCAUAUUUUGAAUUGUACGCGGCGUUGUAACAUCGAAUUUUGAGGAUCAGUGAACUGGUUGAAUACGGUGCUGAGACGGAUGAAAGCUCCUCACCUGCUCCGAUUAAUUUGAUUAUUCGUCUAAAAGAGUAGCGCUCCUUGAUAGUGGAGUGUGACAGGUGGUAAUCUUCACCGAAAUCUCAAUACUAACAAUAGACCGAUAGCGAACAAGUACCAUGAGGGAAAAUUGAAAAGCACUUCGUAAGGAGAGUUAAAAGACCUGAACUCAUAUACAAGGAAGCUUAUGUAUGUCGCUAACCACUUUUCAUUGACGACUUGAUGAUUCGUGUUGACAUGCAGAAGACCCGUCUUGAAACACGGACCGAGGAGUUGGUCUCAUUUGCGAGUAUAACGAUCGAAAUCGGUAUGCGAAGAGAAAUCAAUAUGUGUGAUAUUUGCUACACUGGCCGGGGAAACUCGUGUCCGAGCAGAUGUGAUCAGACCCGAAAGAUGGUGAUCUAUGCCUGGAUAGGGUGAAGCCAGGGGAAACUCUGGUGGAAGCUCUUAGCGAUACUGACGUGCAAAUCGUUCGUAAAAUCUAGGUAUAGGGGCGAAAGACUAAUCGAACCAUCUAGUAGCUGGUUCCCUCCGAAGUUUCCCUCAGGAUAGCUGGAAGUAUAAGAGUUGCAUCCGGUAAAGCGAAUGAUUAGAGGACUCGGGAGUCAUAGUACUCUCGGCCUAUUCUCAAACUCAGAAUGGAUGCGCAUAUAUGCUUAUUAAGUUAGUGUAUGUGAUGAAUCUUGCUUCUUAGUGGGCCAUUUUUGGUAAGCAGAACUGGCGAUGAGGGAUGCUCCUAACGUGCGGCGAAGGUGCCAAAGAGUUGCUGAUCAGAUACCACAAAAGGUGUUAUUUCAUUGAAACAGCAGGGCGGUGGUCAUGGAAGUCGAAAUCCGCUAAGGAGUGUGUAACAACUCACCUACCGAAUGAAGUAGCCCUGAAAAUGGAUGGCGCUCAAGCAACUCACCGCUACCGCACCAACGAUUAAAUCUAAUCGUUGUGUAGGAGGGCGUGAGAAUAGCGUUGAAAAGCAAUACGUGAGUUUGCUUGGAGCUGUUUUCAGUGCAGAUCUUGGUGUUAGUAGCAACUAGUCGUGUGUAAUACGUGACAACUGUCGUGGAUAAGGGUUCCGAGUAAACAGUAUUUGUCCUCGGGUUAGUCGGUCCUAAGGGGGAGUCAAAUUGGCUUUGAACAACAUAUUAUGUUGGCCCCGAAAGGGAAAAAGGUUAAAAUUCCUUUUCUUGAUUUUAAUCAGAAUGGUGACAUAAUAUCAAUCGACCAAUCAAGCGGUUCUCCUUGGAGCGUCUUCUCAGCUCUCUGAUAGUCGUAUGCUCACGAAUGGGAUUGACCCGCGACCGAGCUGUCCGACUACAUAGAUUUCCCAACGGGAAAUUAGGUAGUAACCGAAUGAUCCAUGAAAAGUCGAUUGAACAAGAUUGAAAUCAAUCCGUACCCUAAACCGCAUCAGGUCUCUCGGGUUAAUAGCCCCAAGUUUGAUAGGAGAAUGUGUGUGAGGGAAGUCGGCAAAUUGGAUCUGUAACUUUGGAAAAAAGGUUGGCUCUGGGAGUCAGUUCACCAAUCGCUUCGGUGGUUGCUCGAACCUUCGGGUUGUGAACAGCUUGACAACCCCAGAACUGGUGUUGACUAGAGGAAUCUGACUGUUUAAUUAAAACAAAGCAUUACGAUAAGCCCCAAGGCUAUACACGCAAUGUGAUUUCUGCCCAGUGCUCUGAAUGUCAUUGUGAUGGAAUUCGUAUAAGCGCGGGUAAACGGCGGGAGUAACUAUGACUCUCUUAAGGUAGCCAAAUGCCUCGUCGUCUAAUUAAUGACGCGCAUGAAUGGAUCAACGAGAUUCCUACUGUCCCCACUCACCACCUAGCGAAACCACAGCCAAGGGAAUGGGCUUGGCAAAAUAAGCGGGGAAAGAAGACCCUGUUGAGCUUGACUCUAGUUUGAUUUUGUGGAGUGACUUAUGAGGCGUAGAAUACGUGGGAGCACUUGUGCGAGCUUGAAAUACCACGACUCUUAAUGUCGCUCUGCUUACCCGAUAAUAUGAAAACUGCAUUGCAGCAUGAAAUCUAAAGUCAUUUGAUGGUCGAUUCAUUGCGGGAACAGAAUCAGAUGGGGAGUUUGGCUGGGGCGGCACAUCUGCUAAACUGCAACGCAGAUGCCCUAAGGUUAACUCAAAGAGAACAGAAAUCUCUUGUAGACUGAAAGGGGAAAAGUUAGCUUGAUUCUGAUUUCCAGUAAUAAUAAGAACUGCGAAAGCAUGGCCUAUCGAUCCUUUAAGCCCAGGUUGAUUCUGGCUAGAGGUGACAGAAAAGUUACCACAGGGAUAACUGGCUUGUGGCAGCCAAGCGCUCAUAGCGACGUUGCUUUUUGAUCCUUCGAUGUCGGCUCUUCCUAUCAUUGAGACGCAGAAGUCGCAAAGUGUCGGAUUGUUCACCCGUUAAUAGGGAACGUGAGCUGGGUUUAGACCGUCGUGAGACAGGUUAGUUUUACCCUACUUAUAUACGCGUAGCGAGAGUAGAGCAACCUAGUACGAGAGGAACAGUUGCUCCAAGUCACUGGUAGAGUGGUUGGCUGAACAGCCAGUGCUGCUAAGCUACAUUUGCGGGAUAAUGGCUGAACGCCUCUAAGCCAAAAACCCAGCUUGAAGCUACGUUUGAAAAUACUUUUACCAAUUUAAUAUAUUGUGAAAGGAAAAGUGUUUCUUUAUAUGACUGACAGACGAUCAGAGUGCAAAUUGCAGUUGUAAUUCAGAAAGUAGACCUUGUGCUACGAUCUAUUGAAACGAACAAUUUGC